GACAGAGGUGCCGAGCGUUAGGCGGAAUCACUGGGCUUAAAGCGUGUGUAGGCGGGUCGUUAAGUGCCUUGUGAAAUCCCACCGCUCACCGGUGGAACUGCUUGGCAUACUGGCGAUCUUGAGCCACUUAGGGGCAACCGGAACAAAUGGUGGAGCGGUGAAAUGCGUAGAUAUCAUUUGGAACACCAAUGGUGAAAACAGGUAGCUGGGAGUGUGCUGACGCUGAGACACGAAAGCCAGGGGAGCGAACGGG
This 253-nucleotide ribosomal RNA is filed under the name uncultured bacterium. Its description in RNAcentral is "partial 16S ribosomal RNA". It matches the Rfam family "Bacterial small subunit ribosomal RNA", at positions 524 to 776 of the family's 1533-position model. The record is from RNAcentral.